UCCGGUUUGUCACCGGCAGUCUCUGCAGAGUCCCCGGCAUUACCCGCUGGCAACAGCAGACAGGGGUUGCGCUCGUUGCGGCACUUAAGCCAACACCUCACGGCACGAGCUGACGACAGCCGUGCAGCACCUGUGCUAGCCCCUUACGGACACCGGCUUCCACCGGCUUUAACUAGCAUGUCAAGCCUAGGUAAGGUUCUUCGCGUUGCAUCGAAUUAAGCCACAUGCUCCGCCGCUUGUGCGGGCCCCCGUCAAUUCCUUUGAGUUUCAGUCUUGCGACCGUACUCCCCAGGCGGCGAACUUAACGCGUUAGCUUCGACACUGAGCUCCAAGUUGAGCCCAACGUCCAGUUCGCAUCGUUUAGGGCGUGGACUAC
RNAcentral lists this unclassified non-coding RNA (376 nucleotides) under uncultured bacterium. RNAcentral's name for it is "contains 16S-23S intergenic spacer region". The record is from RNAcentral.